GCUUGUUCUUCAUCUCCGGCGCCCAUUGGUGAUCAUCUUCGACGCUGCCAUUGUUUCCCCCGGUCUAGGGGUAACUAACUUCAUCAUCCCUUGUUAUUUUCAUGUUGUUUUGUCUUUGUGAUAUCGCCGCUAUUUUUUUAAGCUCAAAUUCAAUGGUUAUAGUUUGAAUCGACGUCACCGGCGCCCAUUGGUGAUCUUCUUCGACUUCGCCAUCGACUCUUCGCGUUUAUAUGAUGGAUCAUAUAUAACUUAUCAAGACUAGAUCCUUAUGGAUGUAUAACUUAUCAAGACUAGAUCCUUAUGGCCGAUGGUGUACUAGUGUUAGUUCGUCUGGAAGCUGUAUGCACACCCCCUACCUAGUAUGCAUCUGUCGACGAAAUAUGGUCGACAGUCUACGUAGGGGUAUGCCCAAGGUAGUAGAUUGUCGGUAGACAGGUGCGCAAGCUAUGAACUAGACGGUGACGCCAGAUACAGAUAAUGAUUUUAUCCAGGUUCGGCCGCCGUGAGGCCAUAAUAUCUACGUCCUGCGUCUGAUGGUAUUGGUAUGAGGUGUAAUGAAUUGUCUUGAGUUGGUCCCAUGCCCCACCUUAUAUAGUCCCGGGGGCAAGAUUAGAAAUCUAGAAACUAAUUCUAGUCGGUUACAAUUGUCAUAGAUAGUCGGACAUCAAUCUCUAUUCUAACCGACAAAGAUCUUGCUUGAUCUCCUCGUCUACUUUCCUUACGCGGAACUCCGAGCAGUUCGAUCAAGCCAUGAACCAUCUUGUAAUGGGCCAAUCUUCUCGGCCCAAGUCUAGCCGUAAGGGUAUAGGGGUUUAUACCCCCACAUUUAUUUUGAACUAUCUUUUUAUAAUUAUGGGGGUGAGUAAUUUAGAGGCAAAAUUAGAUGGUUAUUUUAUGUGUCUUUUUCAUAAUAAGAGAGACAGAUAUUUUUUAAUAACAAGAUAGAUUCAAUGGCUAUUAUUGGAGAUGAUGGUUAGAUGUUCUUGUUUAUUAUAAAAGUGUCUAAAAGCCGACCAGAAGAACAUGCCGGACAUAUAUUGAUAGAGAAGGAACUAAAUAUAAUAAAAAAUAAAAGAAAUAAAAAAGAAAACCACAACACUCUUGAAGUUGAUAACAAGACCACCACCAAGAUAAAAUAACACCAACGAAAGCACCAUGCCAAUAGCCGCCAAACGCUACCUGUAUGCUACAGGAAACAACCAUUAUAGCAGAAAAAGGGAAAAGAGGUUUCCCGAGUGAAUCCUCCUAGGAGGGAAAUGAUAUCCGUAGGUACUGUUUUAUAGGUACUGUAAACACUGAUAGAAGAGCUAAGGUUUCUCAACUAAAACUCUUGGUAGAAGAGCUAAGGUUUCUCAACAAAAGUAGUUCCUCAUUACAAUGCCUCCGAUAAAGGAAAUGACUCCAAAAACAUCACCAGUCGGCCAUAUAUAGCUACAGACUAGGCAACGCUUUCACCUUAAAGCCCCCCAACACUCUAGACCUAAAUCUUGCCACCGCAUGUGGAUCCUCACAACUACAUGGAACCAUAGUAAACCACCACCAACGUGAGAUCAUUGAGGCAACGACAGGGUCAUAGGGAUGGCUCACUACUACAUAAUUGGUUUGUAAGAGCCAGGG
Molecule: long non-coding RNA, 1617 nt
Filed under: Sorghum bicolor (sorghum)
Lineage: Eukaryota; Viridiplantae; Streptophyta; Magnoliopsida; Poales; Poaceae
Description: long non-coding RNA (SBIC_LNC013608)
Source: RNAcentral